UGGGGUGUGGCUCAGUGGUAGAGCACUUGCCUACCAUGUAUGAGGCCCUGGGUUCGAUGCUCAGUGCCACAU
This 72-nucleotide transfer RNA is filed under the name Marmota monax (woodchuck). It matches the Rfam family "tRNA". From Rfam's summary of the family: Transfer RNA (tRNA) molecules are approximately 80 nucleotides in length. Lineage: Eukaryota; Metazoa; Chordata; Mammalia; Rodentia; Sciuridae. The record is from Rfam by way of RNAcentral.